Molecule: ribosomal RNA, 292 nt
Filed under: uncultured bacterium
Lineage: Bacteria
Description: partial 16S ribosomal RNA
Rfam family: Bacterial small subunit ribosomal RNA
Source: RNAcentral
GUGUCAGCAGCCGCGGUAAUACGUAGGGUGCGAGCGUUAAUCGGAAUUACUGGGCGUAAAGUGUGCGCAGGCGGCUUCGCAAGUCGAGUGUGAAAUCCCCGAGCUUAACUUGGGAAUUGCGCUCGAAACUACGGAGCUGGAGUGUGGCAGAGGAAGGUGGAAUUCCACGUGUAGCGGUGAAAUGCGUAGAGAUGUGGAGGAACACCGAUGGCGAAGGCAGCCUUCUGGGCCAACACUGACGCUCAUGCACGAAAGCGUGGGGAGCAAACAGGAUUAGAUACCCUGGUAGUCC